RNAcentral lists this long non-coding RNA (275 nucleotides) under Lepisosteus oculatus (spotted gar). RNAcentral describes it as "lncRNA (ENSLOCG00000022762.1)". Lineage: Eukaryota; Metazoa; Chordata; Actinopteri; Semionotiformes; Lepisosteidae. The record is from RNAcentral.
CUUACAGCCACAAGCUACAAAGACACAGUAUUGAACCUGUUUGUCUGGAAUCUUUCAGGAAGUGGCAGGACGAGAGCACUGGAUCAAUAAUCUGCUGGGAACCAAAGAAGCAUCUCUUACUUGUGACCCUACUAGUUAUCGUAUAUAUUCUCAAGCUGGCAUCAAGUCAUCUGGAGGACGAUGAAGUUAGGCCUUUGUGAAGAUAUGUGCAAAACUUGAGCUGGUAAAAGAAUGACUCAGAGGCUCAGGGAGGAUUUCCAAGAGCCCAGAGUUGC